Metopolophium dirhodum (rose-grain aphid) is the source of this 1630-nucleotide long non-coding RNA. RefSeq lists it as uncharacterized. The transcript has 3 exons. The record is from RefSeq and is a predicted model, not a curated record. NCBI's taxonomy places the organism in Eukaryota, Metazoa, Arthropoda, Insecta, Hemiptera, Aphididae.
AUUUGAUCAUUGAUUGAAGUACAUAUUUUGUGUAAUUUAAUAAGUCUUUUAAUAUUAACUACAUAAUUCAACAUGAAGAGUAGUAGAGCCAAACUUAUGGUUAAACUUGGACAAAGUAGCCAACAAGAGUAUAAUAGUAUCAACGUCAAACAAAUGCGAUCAGAGAAAUUAGCAUCAAAAAAUAAAUUUAUAAUUACUAUGAGCUUCCAAACACUGUUGAAAAGGUAGAGGCAUGGUUACAAGACCCCCAAAAUGUUUAUAUGGGCGAUUCAUCACCUAAAUCUUACCAUACACUUACUCCAUGCAAAUUAGUGGGAAAAGAUCAAUCAGAUCUAUGGAACAUUUCAGAUGAAGGUAAUACAAUUUUUGGUCAAAUUAAUGAUGGAGUUAUAGAAAAUCAUAUCACGGGAAGUCAAAUUAAUAUUAAUUCAAUAACUUCAAAUAAUAAUAUUUUGAUUGGGGAAAUUGACAACUAUGAAUCCGGCAAUGUAUUUCAAAAUGAUAUUCCUAAUCAAUGUUCUGAAGAAUUUCAACAUUUUGAAAAUCAUAAUAAUGAUAACAUUAUUAUAUUCAACAGUGCAACAAAUAAUGAUGGAGUAACUUCGAUAACUAACAUUGCUGAUCAAACACCUGAGUUUACUAAUAUUAUUGAAAAUAAUAUUCUACAUCAUAAUUCUAAUUCUGAUCAAAUUGAAAAUGAAGUUGUACUUCUUAAAAGUAAAAAAAGGAAAAGUUUUGGUUCACUAAAAGAAGCAUAAAAAAAAAAGAGAAAUAUGGGCCAGUCGUAUCAUACAGCUAAUAAAAAAAAAUUAAUAAAUGCUAAAGAAAUACAAUUAGCUUGUGGAAAUAUCUGAAGACUAAAAUGCUCAUUGUCUAUAAGUGAAAUAAGUAGACAACAACUAUUCAAUUCUUACUGGCAGUUAGGAAAUGUAGAUAGACAAAGAGAUUUUUUAUCUAAAUGCAUUGAACCUGGCAAUGUACCUAAAUAUAGGUAUCCUCAUACAGUAACUAGAGACUUAAAUUAUUCAUAUAACUUUUGUAUAAAUAAUAUUAAACAUAGAGUCUGUAAAUUAUUUUUCAAAAAUACACUUGCUAUUAGUGAUAGACCAAUUCGAACAGUUAUUUCAAGACUAAACAACUAUGGAUUUAUUAAGGAAGAUAAACGUGGAAAACAUAAAAACCAUAAAAAAAACUUGACUUUGCAAUUAAACAAAGUGUUUAAGACCACAUAAACUCUAUACCUCGUAUUGAAAGCCAUUAUUUAAGAGCACAAACAACUAGUAAGAGUAUAUUGAAGGUGGAAAAUCUUUGGCUGACUUACAUAGAGAUUAUUCAUCUCUCAGGAAAGAAGAACAAUAUCCUCAAGAAAAAAUAGCUAAUUUAACCAUGUACUCAAGAAUUUUUAAUACAGAGUUUAAUAUUUCUUUUUUUGUUCCCAAAAAAAAAACCAAUGUUCUCAUUGUGAAUCAUACAAAAAUGCGGAUGACGUUGAAAAAGUACUUUAAGAUGAAAAUUAUCAGCUACAUUUGUCAGAAAAAAAUCUAAGUAGAACAGAAAAAGAAAAUGAUAAACAGUUGGCUGGCUUUAAAUGAUAUAAUUAGAAGUAACAUAUUAUUAGCAUGCUAUGACC